RNAcentral lists this ribosomal RNA (506 nucleotides) under uncultured bacterium. Its description in RNAcentral is "partial 16S ribosomal RNA". It matches the Rfam family "Bacterial small subunit ribosomal RNA", at positions 899 to 1397 of the family's 1533-position model. The record is from RNAcentral.
ACUCAAAUGAAUUGACGGGGGCUCACACAAGCGGUGGAGCAUGUUGCUUAAUUCGAGGCAACGCGAAGAACCUUACCUGGGUUUGACAUGCUUGGAUUAACCCCAUGAAAGUGGGGCCACGCCCGCAAGGGUGGAACAAGCACAGGUGCUGCAUGGCUGUCGUCAGCUCGUGCUGUGAAGUGUCGGGUUAAGUCCUCUAACGAGCGCAACCCCUGUCGUCAGUUGCUCACGCGUCAAGGCGAGUACUCUGGCGAGACUGCCGGCGUCAAGCCGGAGGAAGGCGGGGAUGACGUCAAGUCCUCAUGGCCCUUACAUCCAGGGUUGCAAACGUGCUACAAUGGCGCGCACAAAGCGACGCGAGGCCGCGAGGCGGAGCAAAUCGCAAAAAACGCGCCCCAGUUCGGAUUGCAGGCUGCAACUCGCCUGCAUGAAGUCGGAAUCGCUAGUAAUCGGAGAUCAGCUACGCUCCGGUGAAUACGUUCCUGAGCCUUGUACACACCGCCCGU